This 299-nucleotide long non-coding RNA is filed under the name Mytilus galloprovincialis (Mediterranean mussel). The record is from RNAcentral. Lineage: Eukaryota; Metazoa; Mollusca; Bivalvia; Mytilida; Mytilidae.
GGGGAGGGAUGAGAUCUCAUAAACAUGUUUAACCCCGCCGCAUUUUUGCGCCUGUCCCAAGUCAGGAGCCUCUGGCCUUUGUUAGUUUUGUAUUUUUUUAAUUUUAGUUUCUUGUGUACAAUUCGGAAAUUAGUAUGGCGUUCAUUAUCACUGAACUAGUAUAUAUUUGUUUAGGGGCCAGCUGAAGGACGCCUCCGGGUGAGGGAAUGUCUCGCUACAUUGAAGACCUGUUAGUGACCUUCUGCUGUUGUUUUUUCUAUGGUCGGGUUGUUGUCUCUUUGACACAUUCCCCAUUUCCA